RNAcentral lists this ribosomal RNA (459 nucleotides) under uncultured bacterium. Its description in RNAcentral is "bacterial SSU rRNA". It matches the Rfam family "Bacterial small subunit ribosomal RNA", at positions 30 to 491 of the family's 1533-position model. The record is from RNAcentral.
AUUGAACGCUGGCGGAAUGCUUUACACAUGCAAGUCGAACGGUAGAGGGGGCAACCCCUUGAGAGUGGCGAACGGGUGAGUAAUAUAUCGGAACGUGCCCAGUCGUGGAGGAUAACGUAGCGAAAGCUACGCUAAUACCGCAUACGAUCUACGGAUGAAAGCGGGGGAUCGCAAGACCUCGCGCGAUUGGAGCGGCCGAUAUCAGAUUAGGUAGUUGGUGAGGUAAAGGCUCACCAAGCCGACGAUCUGUAGCUGGUCUGAGAGGACGACCAGCCACACUGGGACUGAGACACGGCCCAGACUCCUACGGGAGGCAGCAGUGGGGAAUCUUGGACAAUGGGCGAAAGCCUGAUCCAGCAAUGCCGCGUGCGUGAAGAAGGCCUCGGUUGUAAGCGCUUUGUCUGGAGCGAAAUCCUGGCCUCUAAUACAGUCGGGAGUGAGAGUACCAGAAGAAUAAGG